GCUGCAUGCCUAAUACAUGCAAGUCGAGCGGAUUGAUGGGAGCUUGCUCCCAUCAGUCAGCGGCGGACGGGUGAGUAACACGUGGGUAACCUGCCUGUAAGACUGGGAUAACUCCGGGAAACCGGGGCUAAUACCGGAUAACUCAUUUCCUCGCAUGAGGAAAUGUUGAAAGGUGGCUUUUAGCUAUCACUUACAGAUGGACCCGCGGCGCAUUAGCUAGUUGGUGAGGUAACGGCUCACCAAGGCGACGAUGCGUAGCCGACCUGAGAGGGUGAUCGGCCACACUGGGACUGAGACACGGCCCAGACUCCUACGGGAGGCAGCAGUAGGGA
Molecule: ribosomal RNA, 332 nt
Filed under: Firmicutes bacterium BC1
Lineage: Bacteria; Bacillati; Bacillota
Description: bacterial SSU rRNA
Rfam family: Bacterial small subunit ribosomal RNA
Source: RNAcentral